UCGAGUACCCACCUGCUGGAGCU
Molecule: non-coding RNA, 23 nt
Filed under: Arabidopsis thaliana (thale cress)
Lineage: Eukaryota; Viridiplantae; Streptophyta; Magnoliopsida; Brassicales; Brassicaceae
Source: RNAcentral